Molecule: ribosomal RNA, 241 nt
Filed under: uncultured Bacillota bacterium
Lineage: Bacteria; Bacillati; Bacillota
Description: uncultured Firmicutes bacterium partial 16S ribosomal RNA
Rfam family: Bacterial small subunit ribosomal RNA
Source: RNAcentral
CACGCCGUAAACGUUGAGAACUAAGUGUUGGGGAGACCCAGUGCUGAAGCUAACGCAUUAAGUUCUCCGCCUGAGGAGUACGCACGCAAGUGUAAAACUUAAAGGAAUUGACGGGGGCCCGCACAAGCAGUGGAGCAUGUGGUUUAAUUCGAAGCAACGCGAAGAACCUUACCAGGGCUUGACAUACUUUUGCAGGGUCUAGAGAUAGACCUGUUCUCUUUUGAGACGAAAGUACAGGUGG